Molecule: ribosomal RNA, 253 nt
Filed under: uncultured bacterium
Lineage: Bacteria
Description: partial 16S ribosomal RNA
Rfam family: Bacterial small subunit ribosomal RNA
Source: RNAcentral
UACGUAGGGUGCGAGCGUUGUCCGGAAUUAUUGGGCGUAAAGGGCGCGUAGGCGGCCCGCCGCGUCCGGGGUGAAAUCCUCCCGCUCAACGGGAGAACGGCCUCGGAUACGGGCGGGCUGGAGGCGGGUAGGGGCAGGCGGAACUGUGGGUGGAGCGGUGAAAUGCGCAGAUAUCAGGAGGAACACCGGUGGCGAAGGCGGUUCUCUGGGCAUUACCUGACGCUGAGGAGCGAAAGCAUGGGGAGCGAACAGG